Molecule: ribosomal RNA, 41 nt
Filed under: Ditylenchus destructor
Lineage: Eukaryota; Metazoa; Nematoda; Chromadorea; Rhabditida; Anguinidae
Description: partial 28S ribosomal RNA
Source: RNAcentral
GACCUGAAUCUGACGUGAUUACCCGCUGAACUAAAGCAUAU